Molecule: regulatory RNA element, 49 nt
Organism: Pseudooctadecabacter jejudonensis
Lineage: Bacteria; Pseudomonadati; Pseudomonadota; Alphaproteobacteria; Rhodobacterales; Paracoccaceae
Rfam family: SAM/SAH riboswitch aptamer
Source: Rfam
UUCCGACCACAACGGCUUCCUGACGUGGAUCGGCAAACCUAACGGAGCA